RNAcentral lists this unclassified non-coding RNA (395 nucleotides) under soil metagenome. RNAcentral's name for it is "partial contains 5.8S ribosomal RNA, internal transcribed spacer 2, and large subunit ribosomal RNA". The stretch from base 1 to 120 matches the Rfam family "5.8S ribosomal RNA", at positions 35 to 154 of the family's 154-position model. The record is from RNAcentral.
GAUGAAGAACGCAGUGAAAUGCGAUAAGUAGUGUGAAUUGCAGAAUUCCGUGAAUCAUCGAAUCUUUGAACGCACCUUGCGCCUUUUGGUAUUCCGAAAGGCACACCUGUUUGAGCGUCAUGAAUACCUCAAUCUCCAUCUUUUCUUCGGAUUGAUGGGUGACUUGGAUGUUGAGCCCUGCUGGUAUGCUAUAUCAGCUGGCUUUAAACUUAUUAGCCGGCUCUGUACUGGAUCGGUUUGACUCGACGUGAUAAUAUUAUCGUUGAGGAUGCAUGUCUCAUGCAGCCGGAAAGUAUCAAAGCAGCUUCUAGCUUGCCUUUAGUGCACUUUUACAUUUUAGACCUCAGAUCAGGUGGGACUACCCGCUGAACUUAAGCAUAUCAAUAAGCGGAGGA